Molecule: long non-coding RNA, 3246 nt
Filed under: Nicotiana tabacum (common tobacco)
Lineage: Eukaryota; Viridiplantae; Streptophyta; Magnoliopsida; Solanales; Solanaceae
Description: long non-coding RNA (NTAB_LNC003909)
Source: RNAcentral
UGAAGUAUCCUUCUUCAAUCUUUCUCAUUCCAAAAAUCAGACGCAAGACUACUCUUAUUCCAACAAUCUUCUCUUCGUCUCUUCAACUAGUGUAGUAAUCUCAGGUAUGUUUUUCUUUUAGUAAUCUUUUGCCCAAAUCUUCUUCUAAUUCUCUUCGUGUUUUCCAAAUUCAUGUCUGAUGUUGUUAUUUUUCUGCCUCUUUUCGAUGUUCUUUGGACUUCAUUUUCUUCUUUUUGCUUUUCUUUUUGCCCUUAAUCUAUUAUACUGUUGCAUGAUUUUUCUUCGGUCUUCCGAAGACUACCCUUUCAGUUCGUUUUGUCUUCUCAGUUGGGGGUUACAAUUAAUUUCAGAUGUGCUUUUCUUAAUUUUUUGCCAGAAGUUUUUCCAUUUCUCUUCAGUCUCUCCAGUUUUACAGCUGAAGUUAGUGGCAGAUGUCUUCUUUUCUUUCGGUUCUCUUCGGUCGUCCCGAUUUCUGUUCUAUUCUUGGAAGUUAAUAUGAAUUUUCAAGUUGGUAAUUUAUUUAAUCUAUCAUCAGUUAAAAACGAUUUCUUAAUUUAGCACAUUUCAGGCGCAGGUUCUACGCAUAUAAUGUGUCAAGAAUCAAGACAACAACUUAAAUUAAUUUGUAGACUUUUCAGCAUAGUUCUUUUUUUGCUCUUUGAAAUUAUCGUACGGUUCCUUAUUUUUAGUUCUUUUUUUCUUUCUUAUUCGGGUGUAUUAUAUGUUUUGGAAAUUUGUGCUUUUGCUACUGUGCAAGGAUUACAUAUAAAAAUUCAACUUUGGAAUUUGAUUUCUGCUUUUCUGUUCUUCCAGAUUUUUUAUGGGCUCCUAUUUUGAAACUCCUUUAGAUAUAUAACAUAGUAGUCAAAUGGUUGUUGUCAUCAAUUCGUUGUCUAAUUCUCUCUUCAUUAUUUGUCGAUCAAAUGGACCAGUGUGACAGAAUUAUAUUCCUGCGUAGUGUACUUUUUUUAGAGUGUUUAAUGAUUAGUAAAAGCGAAACAAAAGGUGGUUGCAUGUGUUUUGUCUUAUAUAGAUGAAAUAUUGAUGCAUUCAAUGUUUUCUGAGCUGUUAAGUUGUAUUGAUUAAGUUUGACCGUUUGUUGCACAUAACUUUGUAACUUUUUAUUUUAGCAUGUUACUGCAAAUUCUUUUAUUCAUAAUUACAGAUAAACCACUGACAAAAUAAAGUUUUUUGUUGUCUUUAUUUUCAGGAACUUUGAAUUAUAGUUACAGGCACUGUCGACCUAAAAAAGUAAGUGUAUGCUAUUUUUACUUAAUACAUUCAAUGCAUAAGCUAUUACUUUAUACGUAAUUGACAAAAAUUAUUUGUAUGUGUCAUUUGGAAUGAAUGAAGUGUUCUUUGUGUCGCUGUUAAGCGAUUUAUGCUCAUCGCAUUAGUAAUACCAUGAUAUAAUUUAUGUCAUUUAUGUUUGUCGUGCAAGCUUUGAACGAGAAAUUCUGUGCUUUUCAUUAUCUCUAUCUGGUAUCUGGUGUUAGAUCUAAAUAACCAAUGAACAAAAUUUCCUUAUAAAAAAUUUGUGAAUCAUAAUAGCUCUUUUACCUCAGCAUUAUUAAGGUAAAAGUAUCAAUUCUGGGAUGAAAUUAAGACAAUAUAAGACAUCUAAAACAUCCUCUCUUUGAACAUUCUAUUGUCAAUGAUUCAAGUGGUAUUUCAUCGUCCUUUUAAUGCCACAAGAGGCUCAUCUUUCCCUCUUCAAAGAGAUUAUAAAGUACCAUUUUUUAUUCUCAAUAUAGCCUAUAACACUAUGUUUAAUCGUGAUUGUGUGCACAUUUGCCUAGGCCUCUGCCUCGUCUCAGUUGGUAAUUAAUUUAAUUUGACAAGUUUUCAGAUAAGUUAGAACUUGAAAUUACGAUGCAAUAACAGAUACCAACUAUUGUUAAUCUGCUUGAGUACAACCUCCAAUAACUGAAAGAUGGAUAAUCACAUAAGAAAAACUACUGCCAUGUACUAAAUUCAGGAUAAAUAAAUUCACUUUCUUUCUUGGACAUAUUGACGUAUUCCUUCUCCGCCUUUAUAAGUAUACAAGGCAGCGGCUCCAGUAAAAGUUAUUUCUAAACUAAGAAGAAGUGGCAAUGACAAGGACCAAAUGAUUUUAACAGUUGAAAUAAGUUUGCUUAACAAUUUUUAGUUUUGUGUAUGUUUUAAGAGUAAACUAUUCUUUUAGGUCCCUUUUCAGUUUACCACUCUUGAACUAGAUCUUAUACUUUUCAUUUACCUUGUGUAAUUUUUAAGAACCUACUUAGCACUUAAACUUGUCCAAAUUAGAGUCUUACCCAGUUUAAAGAAGUUUUAUCCUCUCUGAGACAUCAUAUGAAGUCGGGAGUAUUUGUUGUACUACCCUGUAGGAAUUUUAAUAUGCUUUCGGAUUACUUUAAUUAUAUUGGUCCGAUUGGCAGUUUGAAAACUUUAGGUUUAUAUCGUUCAAAUAGAAUGCAAGAGUUGCAUUUUUUUUUGUUGUGGACUGUGGAGUUUUUGCUGAAGGAAGAUCAUGAUUCAACAUUAUCAUGACGGAUUAAUUUGUGAGAAUGAGAAUCUAUUCAGUUUACGAUUUCACCAUCCAAUUGCUAUAUGAAUUCCCUUCUACAUCUGAAGCUUCAGACAAAAAUAAGUUAUUUUUUCAUCAAAUGAAUUUCCUUCUACCAGAAGAACUUCAGUACAGGAAAAAAUAUUUAUUUAUAUUCUUUUGGAUUAUAUAAAAAGUAAUCUAGCUGAAAUAGAUAUGGUUUGCUCAAUAACCUCUACCAUGUUUGUAAAGCUGCAUAAGAUUUUGCUAAUAAAAAUAUAGAGCAUUAAUUAGGGUGCUCAAAGCGGAGGCAUAUUAUAGUGAAUAAUGAGAGAUUUCAUACUCGUGAAUCAUCAUAGAAUUUCUCUGUUGUGGAAUUCAAACAUCUCUUCUUUCUUUUUUUUAUCUGCAUGACUAUCCUCUGAUGAGAAAGAGUCUAAAAGGAGUGAUGAACUUCCACGUGCUGAAACAAUACCUUUGCCAUUGUCCAAUUCAGUAGAUGAAUACUGUUGGGAGUGUCCAAAUGUAUGCCUUCUACGUUUUUCAUAAUAGAUGUACUAAUGUAACUUUUAAGCGAUCGCACUUUCCCUAAUUUCAUUUGAAUUUUGAGUUUGUUAUGGGACCUGCCUUAUUUUUAUCUGGUGUUUCUACUGUUUAACUAGCAGUGAUAUUAUGGGAAUUUUUUUGAUUGCAUCAGAAAAGUGAAUUUCGUGAUAUUGCAC